GAGGCGGAUCUGGCUUACUUGGUGCCCUAGGCGAGAUCCGAUGUGGCGCCCCCCUUAAUAUCAACAACAACAACAUGAGAAACGGAUCAAUAUUUAAGUCCUUUUUUUACUCUAAAUCUACACUUUCACAUCUGAAAGUCACAUCUGAUGCCUGUUUAGUUUCACUUUCACAUCUGAAAGUGUAAGUGGAGAUUUAGAGUAAAAAUAUUGAUUUAAAUAUUGAUCUGUUUCUCACCCACACCUAUCAAGUCGCUUAUGAAGACAUAGAUUUAACCACUGGAGUCUAAUGGAUUACUUUUCUGCUGCCUUUAUGUGCUUUUUGGAGCUUCAGAGUUCUGGCCAACAUUCACUUGCAUUUUAUGGACCGGCAUGAGGGUCGUGUGGAACCUGAAACAGCUACUUCUACAACAAUAUAAACUACAAAAAGAAGUAUGACACAUUGAAAUAAGAGCCCAUUACAAGCGGUAAAUUUUAUUAUGGGAUAACAGCACAUAAAUCACAUCUAAAAUCGAUGUGUCCAAUGCACUUUUAAUAAAGGUAAUAUUAAAGGUACAGUUUCUAAGUACAAUAUAACAACAUUCAUAUUAGAAUGAAAAGUAUUUAAAAGACAACAUUAAAUUUCUUAUUUUUCUUUACAGCAGUAUUUACAAAAUGAAUCAAAAUACUUAUUUUCAUAUUUAAGAAUCAGAUGAACAUAAGGAGCAAAACCACUAUUGAGAAGAGACUAUCUCCUAAAGAGAGUUCUGAAGAGCUGAAUAAAAAGGUACAUGAUCAACUGUCCCCAUUAUAAGAUCAGUAGCAAACAUGUGACAGAAAAAUCCACAAACUGUUCUCUGCUCCCCCCACAGUUGAUGCUGCCCAUGUGAGGAGCACAAUCCAACCCGUCCAGCCCCAGCCCUCCCAUUCAGCUCAUAUUAAACAGACAACAGUAAAUAGAUCCAGAUGUGUAGUAUGCAUAAUUUUACAUACACAAAUGAACACUUCAGUUACAAUGCAUUAGUCAUUUUUUUGUGUUGUAAUUAUCAACUUUAACCUAAAUGGCAGGAAAGAAUAGGAGAACACAGAGUGGAUUGCCUAUUGUCCGUCAUUUUGUCUUGGCAAAUAUCCAAAAAGGGUCCUGCCAUUCACCAAGAAAUCCAACCAGAGUGCAAUUGACUGGAUGCAACAAUGCAUGUCCCAUAACCACGUUUCAAUUGUGUUGUUCGGAGGAGAAGCAAAAACGAACAUCUUGAGACCGAGAACUUCGACUGAUCUCUGUCGGUAAGAAAUACAGGACGCCACAUGAGACAAUAAAAUGCUGUUUCCAUGGCUAUAAACAAACAUGAAAAACCUCAUUUACAUAAAAAGACAGCCAAUGAAAAGAAAAGUUGGUAACACAAGACAGAAGUCACCUACAUGUGCAAACACAGUCAUUUGAGUACGUCGAGAACAGUGAAAACAACGACGGACGAAUAUAGUUUCUGCAUCCUGUAGCACUGAGAGGCACUCAGCGUAGUUUUCCAUGUAUUUAUUGCAAGUUUAAUCUGCCUUGCUACAAAGAGAAACAGGAAGUUUCGCACAAAACCUCACACAACUGCCUUUGUCCUGUACAAUUUUGUUAUAACGCUUAACCAUUGUGUGUGUAUAAUGAGACCUUAUGAGUGAGUAGAAUUCAAUAGGAAACAAACAAAAGCUUAAGAGUCUUAAGGAACUGCUGGGUACAAGAAACAAAAAAGAAAUUGAGGGUGCCAAAAAAAAAAAAAAAAGGCUAAACUUCAAGACAA
Myxocyprinus asiaticus (Chinese sucker) is the source of this 1763-nucleotide long non-coding RNA. RefSeq lists it as uncharacterized. The record is from RefSeq and is a predicted model, not a curated record. NCBI's taxonomy places the organism in Eukaryota, Metazoa, Chordata, Actinopteri, Cypriniformes, Catostomidae. The transcript is spliced from 2 exons.